Molecule: long non-coding RNA, 129 nt
Organism: Mustela erminea (ermine)
Lineage: Eukaryota; Metazoa; Chordata; Mammalia; Carnivora; Mustelidae
Exons: 3
Source: RefSeq, a predicted model, not a curated record
GGUGAUGGACAUUAAGGAGGGCACAUGAUUUGAUGAGCGCUGGGUGUCACAUGCAACUGAUGAAGCAUUGAACACUACAUCAAAAACUAAUGAUGUACUGUAUGUUGAAUUAAUUGAACUUAAUUUAAA